Molecule: ribosomal RNA, 28 nt
Filed under: Pilobolus crystallinus
Lineage: Eukaryota; Fungi; Mucoromycota; Mucoromycetes; Mucorales; Pilobolaceae
Description: partial 28S ribosomal RNA
Source: RNAcentral
CUGAAAUCAAGUGGGAUUACCCGCUGAA